RNAcentral lists this long non-coding RNA (572 nucleotides) under Homo sapiens (human). RNAcentral describes it as "non-protein coding lnc-GLMN-1:1". Lineage: Eukaryota; Metazoa; Chordata; Mammalia; Primates; Hominidae. The record is from RNAcentral.
AGAAGAGCGGGCUAAGACGCCGGAGGAGGUGGCGGCGGCUGGGAGAGGCGAGGGUUCUGGCCGAUUUUAGCAUCGAAACUAGGAGAAAUAAGAAUGGCUGUAGAGGAACUUCAGUCUAUAAUAAAGAGAUGUGUAAGUAUUAAUUUUUGUAAAAUUAAAUACCUUUCAAAAUAUGGGAAGGGCACAGAUUGUUUUUAAUUAUAUUUGUGGUCACUCAAAUUGUUUAUCUUCUUUAAUCCUUGCUUUUUUUGACCUGUAAAGAGCAUGAGUGGGGGAGGCAGAUUGGAUUAUUUCUCCAGGUGACAUACUUAUCUAAAUAACCUUUUACAUUUUAAUCCUGAUCCUUUUCAUAGAUUUCACUGGUACAGUAGAUUUCAAGGUCACUUAUUAAAGUAUUUAUUAGGGUAAUCCUAAUUUUGAUACGUGUGUUAUUUACGUUACAUUUAUCUAGAAUUUAAACAGAUUUCCUUUUUUCAUAGAUAAAUCAAGAAGUUAUUGUAUUUAAUUUUUAUUUGCAUAUACUUUUUUUUGUUUGUUUUUUGGGUUUUUUUUUUUUUUGCCAGCAAAUCCUA